RNAcentral lists this ribosomal RNA (516 nucleotides) under uncultured bacterium. Its description in RNAcentral is "bacterial SSU rRNA". It matches the Rfam family "Bacterial small subunit ribosomal RNA", at positions 29 to 526 of the family's 1533-position model. The record is from RNAcentral.
AACGAACGCUGGCGGCGUGGAUAAGACAUGCAAGUCGAACGGAUUAACUAUUGUAGCAAUACCGUAGUUAGUUAGUGGCGUAAGGGUGCGUAACACGUGGGCAACCUGCCCGAGAGUUGGGGAUAGCCCGCCGAAAGGCGGAUUAAUACCGAAUGUGGCGAAGGGACAUCACUCUGUAGCUAAAGCCGGGGCAACCUGGCGCUCUUGGAUGGGCCCGCGGCCUAUCAGCUAGUUGGUGAGGUAACGGCUCACCAAGGCUAUGACGGGUAGCUGGUCUGAGAGGACGACCAGCCACACUGGAACUGAGACACGGUCCAGACACCUACGGGUGGCAGCAGUCGAGAAUUUUUCUCAAUGGGGGAAACCCUGAAGGAGCGACGCCGCGUGGAGGAUGAAGGUCUUCGGAUUGUAAACUCCUGUCAUUGGUGAACAAGGCCCUCGGUUAACUGCCGUUGGGUUUGAUAGUAGCCGAAGAGGAAGAGACGGCUAACUCUGUGCCAGCAGCCGCGGUAACAC